Molecule: ribosomal RNA, 1470 nt
Filed under: metagenome
Description: bacterial SSU rRNA
Rfam family: Bacterial small subunit ribosomal RNA
Source: RNAcentral
AGAGUUUGAUCCUGGCUCAGGACGAACGCUGGCGGCACGCUUAACACAUGCAAGUCGAACGAGAGAAGAGGAGCUUGCUUUUCUGAUCUAGUGGCGGACGGGUGAGUAACACGUGAGCAAUCUGCCUUUCAGAGGGGGAUACCGAUUGGAAACGAUCGUUAAUACCGCAUAACAUAAUUGAACCGCAUGAUUUGAUUAUCAAAGAUUUAUCGCUGAAAGAUGAGCUCGCGUCUGAUUAGCUAGUUGGUAAGGUAACGGCUUACCAAGGCGACGAUCAGUAGCCGGACUGAGAGGUUGAUCGGCCACAUUGGGACUGAGACACGGCCCAGACUCCUACGGGAGGCAGCAGUGGGGAAUAUUGCACAAUGGAGGAAACUCUGAUGCAGCGAUGCCGCGUGAGGGAAGAAGGUUUUAGGAUUGUAAACCUCUGUCUUCAGGGACGAAAAAAGACGGUACCUGAGGAGGAAGCUCCGGCUAACUACGUGCCAGCAGCCGCGGUAAUACGUAGGGAGCGAGCGUUGUCCGGAAUUACUGGGUGUAAAGGGAGCGUAGGCGGGAUCGCAAGUCAGGUGUGAAAACUAUGGGCUUAACCCAUAAACUGCAUUUGAAACUGUGGUUCUUGAGUGAAGUAGAGGUAAGCGGAAUUCCUAGUGUAGCGGUGAAAUGCGUAGAUAUUAGGAGGAACAUCAGUGGCGAAGGCGGCUUACUGGGCUUUAACUGACGCUGAGGCUCGAAAGCGUGGGGAGCAAACAGGAUUAGAUACCCUGGUAGUCCACGCCGUAAACGAUGAUUACUAGGUGUGGGGGGACUGACCCCUUCCGUGCCGCAGCAAACGCAAUAAGUAAUCCACCUGGGGAGUACGACCGCAAGGUUGAAACUCAAAGGAAUUGACGGGGGCCCGCACAAGCAGUGGAGUAUGUGGAUUAAUUCGAAGCAACGCGAAGAACCUUACCAGGUCUUGACAUCGUAUGCAUAGCUCAGAGAUGAGUGAAAUCUCUUCGGAGACAUAUAGACAGGUGGUGCAUGGUUGUCGUCAGCUCGUGUCGUGAGAUGUUGGGUUAAGUCCCGCAACGAGCGCAACCCUUACUGUUAGUUGCUACGCAAGAGCACUCUAGCAGGACUGCCGUUGACAAAACGGAGGAAGGUGGGGAUGACGUCAAAUCAUCAUGCCCCUUAUGACCUGGGCCUCACACGUACUACAAUGGCUGUCAACAGAGGGAAGCAAAGCCGCGAGGUGGAGCGAACCCCUAAAAGCAGUCUUAGUUCGGAUUGUAGGCUGCAACCCGCCUACAUGAAGUCGGAAUUGCUAGUAAUCGCAGAUCAGCAUGCUGCGGUGAAUACGUUCCCGGGCCUUGUACACACCGCCCGUCACGCCAUGGGAGUCGGUAACACCCGAAGCCUGUAGUCUAACCGCAAGGAGGACGCAGUCGAAGGUGGGAUUGAUGACUGGGGUGAAGUCGUAACAAGGUA